RNAcentral lists this non-coding RNA (29 nucleotides) under Mus musculus (house mouse). The record is from RNAcentral. Lineage: Eukaryota; Metazoa; Chordata; Mammalia; Rodentia; Muridae.
UAGUUUAUCAUGUUCCUCACGGCGCCCAC